UCAACUUGAGAGUUUGAUCCUGGCUCAGAACGAACGCUGGCGGCAGGCCUAACACAUGCAAGUCGAGCGGACCCUUCGGGGUUAGCGGCGGACGGGUUAGUAACGCGUGGGAACGUGCCCAAAGGUACGGGAUAGCCUCGGGAAACUGAGAGUAAUACCGUAUGUGCCCCUCGGGGGAAAGAUUUAUCGCCUUUGGAUCGGCCCGCGUUGGAUUAGGUAGUUGGUGGGGUAAUGGCCUACCAAGCCUACGAUCCAUAGCUGGUUUGAGAGGAUGAUCAGCAACACUGGGACUGAGACACGGCCCAGACUCCUACGGGAGGCAGCAGUGGGGAAUCUUAGACAAUGGGGGAAACCCUGAUCUAGCCAUGCCGCGUGGACGAUGAAGGCCUUAGGGUUGUAAAGUCCUUUCAGCUGGGAAGAUAAUGACGGUACCAGCAGAAGAAGCCCCGGCUAACUCCGUGCCAGCAGCCGCGGUAAUACGGAGGGGGCUAGCGUUGUUCGGAAUUACUGGGCGUAAAGCGCGCGUAGGCGGAU
This 534-nucleotide ribosomal RNA is filed under the name Alphaproteobacteria bacterium HGW-Alphaproteobacteria-6. Its description in RNAcentral is "bacterial SSU rRNA". It matches the Rfam family "Bacterial small subunit ribosomal RNA", at positions 1 to 580 of the family's 1533-position model. Lineage: Bacteria; Pseudomonadati; Pseudomonadota; Alphaproteobacteria. The record is from RNAcentral.